This 493-nucleotide ribosomal RNA is filed under the name uncultured bacterium. Its description in RNAcentral is "partial 16S ribosomal RNA". It matches the Rfam family "Bacterial small subunit ribosomal RNA", at positions 30 to 523 of the family's 1533-position model. The record is from RNAcentral.
AUUGAACGCUGGCGGCAUGCUUUACACAUGCAAGUCGAACGGUAACAGGUUAAGCUGAUGAGUGGCGAACGGGUGAGUAAUGCAUCGGAACGUGCCCGAUCGUGGGGGAUAACACUUCGAAAGAAGUGCUAAUACCGCAUACGAUCUGAGGAUGAAAGCGGGGGACCGUAAGGCCUCGCGCGACCGGAGCGGCCGAUGUCAGAUUAGGUAGUUGGUGGGGUAAAGGCUCACCAAGCCGACGAUCUGUAGCUGGUCUGAGAGGACGACCAGCCACACUGGGACUGAGACACGGCCCAGACUCCUACGGGAGGCAGCAGUGGGGAAUUUUGGACAAUGGGCGCAAGCCUGAUCCAGCAAUGCCGCGUGCAGGAAGAAGGCCUUCGGGUUGUAAACUGCUUUUGUACGGAGCGAAAAGGCUCCCUCUAAUACAGGGGGCUCAUGACGGUGCCGUAAGAAUAAGCACCGGCUAACUACGUGCCAGCAGCCGCGGUAA